This is a long non-coding RNA of Danaus plexippus (monarch butterfly), 284 nucleotides long. RefSeq lists it as uncharacterized. The record is from RefSeq and is a predicted model, not a curated record. Lineage: Eukaryota; Metazoa; Arthropoda; Insecta; Lepidoptera; Nymphalidae. The transcript has 3 exons.
AGAGUCGGCGAUGAGGACACAUCUGAAGCCAAAGACGCUCGUUCAGAGACGAACUGCCACGAUAGAGCCUCGUGCUCCUUACUGAAACCGAGGAAAAUAAUUUCUUUAGAGCAGAAAUACUACUUGAAUCAUCCCCACAUCUGAAACACAAAAGAGCCGAGACUGUGAAGUGAUGUAAUGAACCAGCUCAGCAUGCACCGCGUCAUCCACCCGAUAGCCGUUGACGCUAACCACCUGGUCGCCGACCUGCAGUUAUUAACGAUUACAUUUAAUAGUUAAAGUUA